This 329-nucleotide ribosomal RNA is filed under the name uncultured bacterium. Its description in RNAcentral is "bacterial SSU rRNA". It matches the Rfam family "Bacterial small subunit ribosomal RNA", at positions 182 to 507 of the family's 1533-position model. The record is from RNAcentral.
GAAGUGGCAUCUACUUUAUAAUUAAACUUCAGGAGGGUUAUAGAGUGGGCAUGCGUCCGAUUAGCUAGUUGGUGAGGUAACGGCUCACCAAGGCUCCGAUCGGUAGGGGGUCUGAGAGGAUGAUCCCCCACACUGGUACUGAGACACGGACCAGACUCCUACGGGAGGCAGCAGUAAGGAAUAUUGGACAAUGGGCGCAAGCCUGAUCCAGCCAUGCCGCGUGAAGGAUGAAGGCCCUAUGGGUCGUAAACUUCUUUUAUACGGGACAAAACCCCCCGACGUGUCGGGGGUUGAUGGUACUGUAAGAAUAAGGGUCGGCUAACUUCGUG